Molecule: ribosomal RNA, 253 nt
Filed under: uncultured bacterium
Lineage: Bacteria
Description: partial 16S ribosomal RNA
Rfam family: Bacterial small subunit ribosomal RNA
Source: RNAcentral
UACGAAGGGGGCUAGCGUUGUUCGGAAUUACUGGGCGUAAAGCGCACGUAGGCGGAUAUUUAAGUCAGGGGUGAAAUCCCGCAGCUCAACUGAGGAACUGCCUUUGAUACUGGGUAUCUUGAGUAUGGAAGAGGUAAGUGGAAUUCCGAGUGUAGAGGUGAAAUUCGUAGAUAUUCGGAGGAAGCCCAGUGGCGAAGGCGGCUUACUGGUCCAUUACUGACGCUGAGGUGCGAAAGCGUGGGGAGCAAACAGG